RNAcentral lists this ribosomal RNA (491 nucleotides) under uncultured bacterium. RNAcentral describes it as "partial 16S ribosomal RNA". It matches the Rfam family "Bacterial small subunit ribosomal RNA", at positions 28 to 506 of the family's 1533-position model. The record is from RNAcentral.
GAUGAACGCUAGCUACAGGCUUAACACAUGCAAGUCGAGGGGAAACGGCAUCGAAAGCUUGCUUUUGAUGGGCGUCGACCGGCGCACGGGUGAGUAACGCGUAUCCAACCUGCCCAUCACUUGGGAAUAACCUUGCGAAAGUAAGACUAAUGCCCAAUGACAUCCCACGAAGGCAUCCGAAUGGGAUUAAAGAUUUAUCGGUGAUGGAUGGGGAUGCGUCUGAUUAGCUUGUUGGCGGGGUGACGGCCCACCAAGGCAACGAUCAGUAGGGGUUCUGAGAGGAAGGGCCCCAACAUGGGAAAGGAAACACGGCCCAAACUCCUAGGGGAGGAAGAAGUGGGGAAUAUGGGGCAAGGGGGGGGGGCCUGAACCAGCAAAGUAGGGGGAAGGAUGACGGCCCUUUGGGUUGUAAACUGCUUUUUUAAGGGAAUAAAGGGGGUCACGUGUGACUUUUUGCAGGUACCUUAAAAAUAAGGACCGGCUAAUUCCGG